This 77-nucleotide transfer RNA is filed under the name Hyphomicrobium sp. Its description in RNAcentral is "tRNA-Pro". It matches the Rfam family "tRNA". Rfam says of the family: Transfer RNA (tRNA) molecules are approximately 80 nucleotides in length. Their secondary structure includes four short double-helical elements and three loops (D, anti-codon, and T loops). Further hydrogen bonds mediate the characteristic L-shaped molecular structure. tRNAs have two regions of fundamental functional importance: the anti-codon, which is responsible for specific mRNA codon recognition, and the 3' end, to which the tRNAs corresponding amino acid is attached (by aminoacyl-tRNA synthetases). tRNAs cope with the degeneracy of the genetic code in two manners: having more than one tRNA (with a specific anti-codon) for a particular amino acid; and 'wobble' base-pairing, i.e. permitting non-standard base-pairing at the 3rd anti-codon position. The record is from RNAcentral. Lineage: Bacteria; Pseudomonadati; Pseudomonadota; Alphaproteobacteria; Hyphomicrobiales; Hyphomicrobiaceae.
CGGGGCGUAGCUCAGCCUGGUAGAUCAUCUGCUUUGGGAGCAGAGGGUCGUGGGUUCAAAUCCUGUCGCCCCGACCA